UCCUGCCGGACCUGACUGCUAUCGGAUUGAUACUAAGCCAUGCGAGUCUUUGUAGUAAUACAAGGCAGACGGCUCAGUAACACGUAGUCAACCUACCCUAUGGACAAGAAUAAUCUCGGGAAACUGGGCAUAAUUCUUGAUAGAUCAUAAUGCCUGGAAUGGUUUAUGGUUAAAAUGAUUCGUCGCCAUAGGAUGGGACUGCGGCCUAUCAGCUUGUUGGUGAGGUAAUGGCCCACCAAGGCGAUUACAGGUACGGGCUCUGAGAGGAGAAGCCCGGAGAUGGGUACUGAGACACGGACCCAGGCCCUAUGGGGCGCAGCAGGCGAGAAAACUUUGCAAUGUGCGAAAGCACGACAAGGUUAAUCCGAGUGAUUUCUGCUAAAGAAAUCUUUUGCCAGUCAUAAAACCACUGGUGAAUAAGGGGUGGGCAAGUUCUGGUGUCAGCCGCCGCGGUAAAACCAGCACCUCAAGUGGUCAGGAUGAUUAUUGGGCCUAAAGCAUCCGUAGCCGGCUUUGUAAGUUUUCGGUUAAAUCCAUGUGCUCAACGCAUGGGCUGCCGAAAAUACUGCAUGGCUAGGGAGUGGGAGAGGUAGACGGUACUCAGUAGGAAGGGGUAAAAUCCUUUGAUCUAUUGAUGACCACCUGUGGCGAAGGCGGUCUACCAGAACACGUUCGACGGUGAGGGAUGAAAGCUGGGGGAGCAAACCGGAUUAGAUACCCGGGUAGUCCCAGCUGUAAACGAUGCAGACUCGAUGAUGCAUUGGCAUAAUAGCCAGUGCAGUGUCGCAGGGAAGCCGUUAAGUCUGCCGCCUGGGAAGUACGUACGCAAGUAUGAAACU
This 839-nucleotide ribosomal RNA is filed under the name uncultured marine group I thaumarchaeote. RNAcentral's name for it is "SSU rRNA". It matches the Rfam family "Archaeal small subunit ribosomal RNA", at positions 12 to 856 of the family's 1478-position model. Lineage: Archaea; Thermoproteati; Nitrososphaerota. The record is from RNAcentral.